AUACGGAAGGUCCGGGCGUUAUCCGGAUUUAUUGGGUUUAAAGGGAGCGUAGGCCGUGGAUUAAGUGUGUUGUGAAAUGUAGGCGCUCAACGUCUGACUUGCGGCGCAUACUGGUCCACUUGAGUGCGCACAACGCGGGCGGAAUUUGUCGUGUAGCGGUGAAAUGCUUAGAUAUGACGAAGAACCCCGAUUGCGAAGGCAGCUCGCGGGAGCGCAACUGACGCUGAAGCUCGAAAGUGCGGGUAUCGAACAGGAUUAGAUACCCUGGUAGUCCGCACGGUAAACGAUGGAUGCCCGCUUUUCGGUCAUUAGACCGUGAGGCCAAGUGAAAACAUUAAGCAUCCCACCUGGGGAGUACGCCGGCAACGGUGAAACUCAAAUGAAUUGACGGGG
This 393-nucleotide ribosomal RNA is filed under the name uncultured bacterium. RNAcentral describes it as "partial 16S ribosomal RNA". It matches the Rfam family "Bacterial small subunit ribosomal RNA", at positions 523 to 918 of the family's 1533-position model. The record is from RNAcentral.